CAAACGUCUGAGUUUAAGUUGACUACUGUGAUCAUUAAAAAGACAAUGUCUAGAUCUAUAAAGGCUAACCUCUGGUACUAUAGUUGAGGUAUACCUCUGUGAUGCUCUGCUUUGGCCCAAUUUAGUGCCACAGGUUAGCCAUAACAAGCUGUAAAAGGUUGCCUGUCCAGUCUGGACUCCACCUUAAAAUGCAUGAUGCAUUGUAAUGGUUAGCUGACCUGCUCAGGCUACCACUGCCAUCAAACUAUGGAUGAACUUGCAGUUGCUUUUGUCUAAAUCCUGCAUUAGCCAUGCAAUAAGCACCCCUUGCAUUCUCUACAUAUUACUGUCCAAAACAGCAUGGGG
Pelobates cultripes (western spadefoot toad) is the source of this 345-nucleotide non-coding RNA. The record is from the annotation of a GenBank genome assembly. Lineage: Eukaryota; Metazoa; Chordata; Amphibia; Anura; Pelobatidae.